CCCUUAGAUGUUCUGGGCCGCACGCGCGCUACACUGAUGAAUUCAACGAGCUCCUAACCUAGGCCGAAGGGUCCGGGUAAUCUUUGAAAUUUCAUCGUGAUGGGGAUAGAUUAUUGCAAUUAUUAAUCUUCAACGAGGAAUUCCUAGUAAGCGCGAGUCAUCAGCUCGCGUUGAUUACGUCCCUGCCCUUUGUACACACCGCCCGUCGCUCCUACCGAUUGAAUGGUCCGGUGAAAUGUUCGGACCGCGACAAGGCGGACGGUUCGCUGUCAGCUUUGCUGCGGGAAGUUCAUUAAUCCUUAUCAUUUAGAGGAAGGAGAAGUCGUAACA
This 330-nucleotide ribosomal RNA is filed under the name uncultured eukaryote. RNAcentral's name for it is "partial 18S ribosomal RNA". It matches the Rfam family "Eukaryotic small subunit ribosomal RNA", at positions 1470 to 1796 of the family's 1831-position model. The record is from RNAcentral.